UGAUUUCCAAGGAACGGAUAAGUACGAGAAUUGCUUAGUGUCAGAGAGCCGGAGAAUUGCUGCAAUCCGGUCUAAGCUGAUUCUUGGAAUAUGGUCCGGGAGGAACUGCCUUCAAGCGACAGAGAUUGUUUUCUUUGCGUAAGGGGACGGCGUGUGCCAGCGUUAAUGGACGGUUCUCGUUAAUAACGAAACCGAUGGAGCCUACAAUCUGUGAGGAUGUAGGGAAAUUGGGUGGUAACACGUGAGAUAACUCUCGUCCCAUAU
This 264-nucleotide non-coding RNA is filed under the name Paenibacillus sp. Its description in RNAcentral is "T-box sequence". It matches the Rfam family "T-box leader". Rfam says of the family: Uncharged tRNA acts as the effector for transcription antitermination of genes in the T-box leader family. T-boxes are found upstream of many aminoacyl-tRNA synthetase genes and some amino acid biosynthetic genes usually in Gram-positive bacteria. The anticodon of a specific tRNA base pairs to a specifier sequence within the T-box motif, and the NCCA acceptor tail of the tRNA base pairs to a conserved bulge in the T-box antiterminator hairpin. Lineage: Bacteria; Bacillati; Bacillota; Bacilli; Caryophanales; Paenibacillaceae. The record is from RNAcentral.